CCUACGGGUGGCAGCAGUGAGGAAUAUUGGUCAAUGGACGGAAGUCUGAACCAGCCAUGCCGCGUGCAGGAAGACGGCUCUAUGAGUUGUAAACUGCUUUUGUACAAGGGUAAACCUGUAUACGUGUAUUCAGCUGAAAGUACUGUACGAAUAAGGAUCGGCUAACUCCGUGCCAACAGCCGCGGUAAUACGGAGGAUCCAAGCGUUAUCCGGAUUUAUUGGGUUUAAAGGGUGCGUAGGCGGAUUGAUAAGUUAGAGGUGAAAUGUCCGAGCUUAACUCGGGAACUGCCUCUAAUACUGUUGGUCUAGAGAGUGGAUGCGGUAGGCGGAAUGUAUGGUGUAGCGGUGAAAUGCUUAGAGAUCAUACAGAACACCGAUUGCGAAGGCAGCUUACCAAUCUAUAUCUGACGUUGAGGCACGAAAGCGUGGGGAGCAAACAGGAUUAGAUACCCCUGUAGUC
Molecule: ribosomal RNA, 460 nt
Filed under: uncultured bacterium
Lineage: Bacteria
Description: partial 16S ribosomal RNA
Rfam family: Bacterial small subunit ribosomal RNA
Source: RNAcentral